UGGAAAAUAAUUACUUGAAAUGCCAUUGUUACAGAGAAUAUUCAUGACAGAAUGUUAUUGAUGACAUCGUCGUUGGAUUUUCUA
This 84-nucleotide small RNA is filed under the name Salix viminalis (osier). The record is from RNAcentral. Lineage: Eukaryota; Viridiplantae; Streptophyta; Magnoliopsida; Malpighiales; Salicaceae.